UAGGGAAUCUUCCGCAAUGGACGAAAGUCUGACGGAGCAACGCCGCGUGAGUGAAGAAGGAUUUCGGUUCGUAAAACUCUGUUGUUAGGGAAGAAAAAAUGUAUAGUAACUAUAUACAAAAGAGACGGUACCUAACCAAAGCCACGGCUAACUACGUGCCAGCAGCCGCGGUAAUACGUAGGUGGCAAGCGUUGUCCGGAAUUAUUGGGCGUAAAGCGCGCGCAGGUGGUUUAGAAAGUCUGAUGUGAAAGCCCACGGCUCAACCGUGGAGGGUCAUUGGAAACUAAUAAACUUGAGUGCAGGAGAGAAAAGUGGAAUUCCUAGUGUAGCGGUGAAAUGCGUAGAGAUUAGGAGGAACACCGGUGGCGAAAGCGGCUUUUUGGCCUGCAACUGACACUGAGGCGCGAAAGCGUGGGGAGCAAACAGG
This 427-nucleotide ribosomal RNA is filed under the name Verrucomicrobiota bacterium. Its description in RNAcentral is "Verrucomicrobia bacterium partial 16S ribosomal RNA". It matches the Rfam family "Bacterial small subunit ribosomal RNA", at positions 355 to 776 of the family's 1533-position model. The record is from RNAcentral. Lineage: Bacteria; Pseudomonadati; Verrucomicrobiota.